CGGGGGGGGCAAGCGUUGUUCGGAAUUACUGGGCGUAAAGGGCUCGUAGGCGGCCAACUAAGUCGGACGUGAAAUCCCCAGGCUCAACCUGGGAACUGCGUCCGAUACUGGAUGGCUUGAAUUCGGGAGAGGGAUGCAGAAUUCCAGGUGUAGCGGUGAAAUGCGUAGAUAUCUGGAGGAAUACCGGUGGCGAAGGCGGCAUCCUGGACCGACAUUGACGCUGAUGAGCGAAAGCCAGGGGAGCAAACGGGAUUAGAUACCCCGGUAGUCCUGGCCCUAAACGAUGAAUGCUUGGUGAGACGGGUAUCGAUCCCUGUCGUGCCGAAGCUAACGCAUUAAGCAUUCCGCCUGGGGAGUACGGUCGCAAGGCUG
This 372-nucleotide ribosomal RNA is filed under the name uncultured organism. RNAcentral's name for it is "bacterial SSU rRNA". It matches the Rfam family "Bacterial small subunit ribosomal RNA", at positions 526 to 896 of the family's 1533-position model. The record is from RNAcentral.